GCCUUGGGCCCAAGCCAUGGGACCCCUCCCAAAGCCACCUCUGGAUUUAGGACUGUGGGUGCUUCGGAGACCCUGUUGAGCUGUGUUCAGUGGCACAUGGUGGGGCCAGAGUGAGGUGGGCUGAGCAGAUACGGAGACCCGGGAGCCAGUGCCUCCAAAACAAACUAGGGCAAACUCGAUGGCUUGAAACAGCAUAGACUUAUUGUCCUACAGUUCUGAGGAAAGAGGUAGAAAUAUCCCGAGCACCCCUCUGACAGAGGUCUGACCAGGUGGUUACUUCUGGGCCGAAAAGCAUCUUCUCACCAUGAACCAAAGCUGCCUAUCGCCUCUAGAGCCGUGUGGCUGCGGAGUCGGCCCCUCUUGGUGGGGGCCUGGCAGGGCUCUGGGUCUGGAAGUCCCAUAAGGGCCUAUCUCUGCUUGGCUUCCUGGUCCCUAGGCAGUGCCCCCCAAUGUGGAGCCACGUGCCCUGCCGAUGGCGGCUCUCCUGUACUGAUCCUGUGGCUUCCCUCCCUCCCAUGUUCUCUUCCCUGGGGAACUCAAGUUCAUGGGAUGCUGGGUUCCAAGGCCGAGCAUCCCAUUUCCUUAGCUUUCCUCUUAUUUCUACCUCUUGGUCCUGCAGUCCUAUAGGGGAGCUUCUGAACGGUAUCUUUCAAUCCACCUGUUCUUUCUCAAAUUUCUACCAUCGUGUUCCUGCCUUGCCCUGUCCUGCUCUCUCCCAGCCUGUGUCCCUGUGUCCUGGACACCGCGUCUCAAUCCCUGGAGGGCGUUACAGUUGGGUUCCUGGUCCGGGCUCUCUGUCUGUGUUCCCUUUAAUCCAGGGGUCGAGGAUGGCCAGUCCGGGGGCUGGGCUGUCUGCACAAGUUGUCUGCACUGCUAACUAUCAGUGCCUUCGGGAGGACCCCAGGGCUCAGACUGGGGGUCUUCUCAGCAGGCCUGCGGCUGUCUCCAGAGAGGAACCAUCAGGCCCCUGGCCUGAGCCGCUGAGACACGGUGUCCACCAGCCUGCCUGCUGCACUCUGAGUUCCGGUUCUGCCGAGAAGCCCAGACCGCAGAGGGCCUGUUCUGGGGCCUCCGUCCUUGCUGAUUCCUGGGCCGGAACCACCUGCUUCAUUGCUGUAGUUUCAGGCACAUCUUUGUAUCUGGUUGUACAAGUCCACCCCUUUUCUUUUUUCUUUUUUUUUCAAAACUAACUUAACCUUGACCUUUACUUGUCCUUACAAAUGUUAGAGCAAGCCUCAACUGGAGUUGGAGUGGCACUGGGUCUCCAGAGUGCCUGGGACACACAGUGUCUCCAGGCUGCCCAGGAGCCCAGACAGAACGAAUCCCACGAAGUCUGCCUGUGCUUUUUCCGGCUCACGAGCCAUGUGCCUCCUUUGCAGGCUCAGGCCCGGGUCCUGCGCUGGCUCAUCACUGCUGUGGUGCCACCCACUUUCCAUCAGAAUUCUGCUGAGUUUUCAGGGUUAAAGAGCACCACUAAUUUUCAAACAGACAAAUGUGAAAUGUGUCACACAUGCAGAAGAGGACAGCUCAGCAGAAGGCCCUCCAAGAAGAGAAGUGAGCAGGGCCCUGGGGUGCGGGUCUGGCCUCAGCCUCUCUGAGAAUUUCUAGGAGCCGUUCUGGAGCCAUCAGUGAGCAGAGACACAAAUGAUCUGGGGACACCCGGGCCCCCCCCCCAGUCGGGGCAUCUGGCAAGGCUCAGAGUGCUCUUUGAGCUUCUGUACCCACCUGGACCAUCUUCCAGUCCUUGAGCACAGUGGUUAAAAUGGCCCAUUUAGAGAUCACGUGCCUCCUGACAGAAGAACACCACACAUGAGAAUCACCCACACACAACUCCUGGUCUACAGCAGAUAUAUGGCUCAGGGCAAAAUGUGAGACAACUAGGCUGCUUCAAACAGGAGACGCAACCUGAGGAUAAAGAGAUUCAGGAGGCACAUCAACCAGUUAGGACACGUGGACCUAAAACAUUUUCCUAGACCAUCCAGGGAAUGAGAACCCUGACUGGGUACUAGGAUGCCGAUGGCCUCCUUGUUACAUUCUAGGAAACCAUCUCCUAGAAAUACAAACUGAAAUAUGAGGUGAUACCUAGGCUUCACUCAGAAUGAACAACCAGGUUGGAGGAGGUGCAGGAGGGUGAGGCGGAAGGGUGGGGCCAGAGGCGAGGACGAAGGGGUGGGGGUCCCUGUGACCCCAGAGCAGCCUGGGGAAGGGGAGACAAGGGUGCGCGUGAGUGACCCACAGGAGCACUGUCCCCGUCCGCUGUCCCCUGUGCCCCCCGAGGACCCCCUGCCACACAGGCAGAGUCCUGUGUUUUUAAUUUAGGCAAAUCCUCAGCUUUUGUUUCUCCAAAGACGCUCCUCUGUUUGUUCUCUGGGAAACUCAGCCACGCUGAUGUUCCCCCACCCUGAGGACGGGGCUGCUGGCACUCCCUCCCUCCCUGUUCAGGGAGGCCCCUUCACCAGGACCAGCACGCUUGGAGCAAGGGGGUGGGGCCUCUUACCGCCCCACCAGAGCCCACAUGGCCUUGACACACAGCCGAUCCCUCUUUUCCCACCCAUCCUGAGCCCCCAGUGCCCCCCACCCCCUGCCCCGCCUGCCCUCCAGCCUUCAUGGCUUCCCUGGGGCCCAGCCUCAGCCCCUCCGUCCUGUCAUCUAUCCCAGCUCUAAUGUGGGGCUCGGUGCUCAGUGGUCCUGGGUUCUGGGGCUCCUGCUGGUGCAGCCCCACUCCUGCACCCCCAGGUGUCCAGGCUCGUCACUGGGGUCGCCCCAGGAUGUGG
This is a long non-coding RNA of Manis pentadactyla (Chinese pangolin), 2774 nucleotides long. RefSeq lists it as uncharacterized. NCBI's taxonomy places the organism in Eukaryota, Metazoa, Chordata, Mammalia, Pholidota, Manidae. The transcript has 3 exons. The record is from RefSeq and is a predicted model, not a curated record.